This 2923-nucleotide ribosomal RNA is filed under the name Klebsiella pneumoniae. Its description in RNAcentral is "bacterial LSU rRNA". It matches the Rfam family "Bacterial large subunit ribosomal RNA". Lineage: Bacteria; Pseudomonadati; Pseudomonadota; Gammaproteobacteria; Enterobacterales; Enterobacteriaceae. The record is from RNAcentral.
GGGUUGUGAGGUUAAGCGACUAAGCGUACACGGUGGAUGCCCUGGCAGUCAGAGGCGAUGAAGGACGUGCUAAUCUGCGAAAAGCGUCGGUAAGGUGAUAUGAACCGUUAUAACCGGCGAUGUCCGAAUGGGGAAACCCAGUGCAAUUCGUUGCACUAUCGUUAACUGAAUACAUAGGUUAACGAGGCGAACCGGGGGAACUGAAACAUCUAAGUACCCCGAGGAAAAGAAAUCAACCGAGAUUCCCCCAGUAGCGGCGAGCGAACGGGGAGCAGCCCAGAGUCUGAAUCAGCUUGUGUGUUAGUGGAACGGUCUGGAAAGUCCGACGGUACAGGGUGAUAGUCCCGUACACCAAAAUGCACAGGUUGUGAACUCGAAGAGUAGGGCGGGACACGUGGUAUCCUGUCUGAAUAUGGGGGGACCAUCCUCCAAGGCUAAAUACUCCUGACUGACCGAUAGUGAACCAGUACCGUGAGGGAAAGGCGAAAAGAACCCCGGCGAGGGGAGUGAAAAAGAACCUGAAACCGUGUACGUACAAGCAGUGGGAGCACCUUCGGGUGUGACUGCGUACCUUUUGUAUAAUGGGUCAGCGACUUAUAUUCUGUAGCAAGGUUAACCGUAUAGGGGAGCCGCAGGGAAACCGAGUCUUAACUGGGCGUUAAGUUGCAGGGUAUAGACCCGAAACCCGGUGAUCUAGCCAUGGGCAGGUUGAAGGUUGGGUAACACUAACUGGAGGACCGAACCGACUAAUGUUGAAAAAUUAGCGGAUGACUUGUGGCUGGGGGUGAAAGGCCAAUCAAACCGGGAGAUAGCUGGUUCUCCCCGAAAGCUAUUUAGGUAGCGCCUCGUGAAUUCAUCUUCGGGGGUAGAGCACUGUUUCGGCUAGGGGGUCAUCCCGACUUACCAACCCGAUGCAAACUACGAAUACCGAAGAAUGUUAUCACGGGAGACACACGGCGGGUGCUAACGUCCGUCGUGAAGAGGGAAACAACCCAGACCGCCAGCUAAGGUCCCAAAGUCAUGGUUAAGUGGGAAACGAUGUGGGAAGGCACAGACAGCCAGGAUGUUGGCUUAGAAGCAGCCAUCAUUUAAAGAAAGCGUAAUAGCUCACUGGUCGAGUCGGCCUGCGCGGAAGAUGUAACGGGGCUAAACCAUGCACCGAAGCUGCGGCAGCGACACUAUGUGUUGUUGGGUAGGGGAGCGUUCUGUAAGCCUGCGAAGGUGACCUGUGAGGGUUGCUGGAGGUAUCAGAAGUGCGAAUGCUGACAUAAGUAACGAUAAAGCGGGUGAAAAGCCCGCUCGCCGGAAGACCAAGGGUUCCUGUCCAACGUUAAUCGGGGCAGGGUGAGUCGACCCCUAAGGCGAGGCCGAAAGGCGUAGUCGAUGGGAAACAGGUUAAUAUUCCUGUACUUGGUGUUACUGCGAAGGGGGGACGGAGAAGGCUAUGUUAGCCGGGCGACGGUUGUCCCGGUUUAAGCAUGUAGGCUGGUUGUCCAGGCAAAUCCGGAUAAUCAAGGCUGAGGUGUGAUGACGAGGCACUACGGUGCUGAAGUAACAAAUGCCCUGCUUCCAGGAAAAGCCUCUAAGCAUCAGGUAACAUCAAAUCGUACCCCAAACCGACACAGGUGGUCAGGUAGAGAAUACCAAGGCGCUUGAGAGAACUCGGGUGAAGGAACUAGGCAAAAUGGUGCCGUAACUUCGGGAGAAGGCACGCUGGUGUGUAGGUGAAGUCCCUGCGGAUGGAGCUGAGACCAGUCGAAGAUACCAGCUGGCUGCAACUGUUUAUUAAAAACACAGCACUGUGCAAACACGAAAGUGGACGUAUACGGUGUGACGCCUGCCCGGUGCCGGAAGGUUAAUUGAUGGGGUUAUCCGUAAGGAGAAGCUCUUGAUCGAAGCCCCGGUAAACGGCGGCCGUAACUAUAACGGUCCUAAGGUAGCGAAAUUCCUUGUCGGGUAAGUUCCGACCUGCACGAAUGGCGUAAUGAUGGCCAGGCUGUCUCCACCCGAGACUCAGUGAAAUUGAACUCGCUGUGAAGAUGCAGUGUACCCGCGGCAAGACGGAAAGACCCCGUGAACCUUUACUAUAGCUUGACACUGAACAUUGAGCCUUGAUGUGUAGGAUAGGUGGGAGGCUUUGAAGCGUGGACGCCAGUCUGCGUGGAGCCAACCUUGAAAUACCACCCUUUAAUGUUUGAUGUUCUAACGUUGGCCCCUGACCGGGGUUGCGGACAGUGUCUGGUGGGUAGUUUGACUGGGGCGGUCUCCUCCCAAAGCGUAACGGAGGAGCACGAAGGUUAGCUAAUCCUGGUCGGACAUCAGGAGGUUAGUGCAAUGGCAUAAGCUAGCUUGACUGCGAGCGUGACGGCGCGAGCAGGUGCGAAAGCAGGUCAUAGUGAUCCGGUGGUUCUGAAUGGAAGGGCCAUCGCUCAACGGAUAAAAGGUACUCCGGGGAUAACAGGCUGAUACCGCCCAAGAGUUCAUAUCGACGGCGGUGUUUGGCACCUCGAUGUCGGCUCAUCACAUCCUGGGGCUGAAGUAGGUCCCAAGGGUAUGGCUGUUCGCCAUUUAAAGUGGUACGCGAGCUGGGUUUAGAACGUCGUGAGACAGUUCGGUCCCUAUCUGCCGUGGGCGCUGGAGAAUUGAGGGGGGCUGCUCCUAGUACGAGAGGACCGGAGUGGACGCAUCACUGGUGUUCGGGUUGUCAUGCCAAUGGCACUGCCCGGUAGCUAAAUGCGGAAGAGAUAAGUGCUGAAAGCAUCUAAGCACGAAACUUGCCCCGAGAUGAGUUCUCCCUGAGACUUUAAGUCUCCUGAAGGAACGUUGAAGACGACGACGUUGAUAGGCCGGGUGUGUAAGCGCAGCGAUGCGUUGAGCUAACCGGUACUAAUGAACCGUGAGGCUUAACCUUACAACGCCGAAG